RNAcentral lists this ribosomal RNA (1408 nucleotides) under Massilia timonae. RNAcentral describes it as "bacterial SSU rRNA". It matches the Rfam family "Bacterial small subunit ribosomal RNA". The record is from RNAcentral. Lineage: Bacteria; Pseudomonadati; Pseudomonadota; Betaproteobacteria; Burkholderiales; Oxalobacteraceae.
AUGCAGUCGACGGUAACAGGGAGCUUGCUCCGCUGACGAGUGGCGAACGGGUGAGUAAUAUAUCGGAACGUACCCAGAAGUGGGGGAUAACGUAGCGAAAGUUACGCUAAUACCGCAUACGAUCCACGGAUGAAAGUAGGGGACCUUCGGGCCUUAUGCUUUUGGAGCGGCCGAUAUCUGAUUAGCUAGUUGGUGAGGUAAAGGCUCACCAAGGCGACGAUCAGUAGCUGGUCUGAGAGGACGACCAGCCACACUGGAACUGAGACACGGUCCAGACUCCUACGGGAGGCAGCAGUGGGGAAUUUUGGACAAUGGGCGCAAGCCUGAUCCAGCAAUGCCGCGUGARUGAAGAAGGCCUUCGGGUUGUAAAGCUCUUUUGUCAGGGAAGAAACGGCUGUGGCUAAUAUCCACGGCUAAUGACGGUACCUGAAGAAUAAGCACCGGCUAAYUACGUGCCAGCAGCCGCGGUAAUACGUAGGGUGCAAGCGUUAAUCGGAAUUACUGGGCGUAAAGCGUGCGCAGGCGGUUUUGUAAGUCUGACGUGAAAUCCCCGGGCUCAACCUGGGAAUUGCGUUGGAGACUGCAAGGCUAGAAUCUGGCAGAGGGGGGUAGAAUUCCACGUGUAGCAGUGAAAUGCGUAGAGAUGUGGAGGAACACCGAUGGCGAAGGCAGCCCCCUGGGUCAAGAUUGACGCUCAUGCACGAAAGCGUGGGGAGCAAACAGGAUUAGAUACCCUGGUAGUCCACGCCCUAAACGAUGUCUACUAGUUGUCGGGUUUUAAUUAACUUGGUAACGCAGCUAACGCGUGAAGUAGACCGCCUGGGGGAGUACGGUCGCAAGAUUAAAACUCAAAGGAAUUGACGGGGGACCCGCACAAGCGGUGGAUGAUGUGGAAUUAAUUCGAUGCAACGCGAAAAAACCUUACCUACCCUUUGACAUGUCAGGAAAGGCCGGAARAGAUCUGGCCUGUGCCCCGAAAGGGAACCUGAACACAGGUGCUGCAUGGCUGUCGUCAGCUCGUGUCSUGAGAUGUUGGGUUAAGUCCCGCAACGAGCGCAACCCUUGUCAUUAGUUGCUACAUUCAGUUGAGCACUCUAAUGAGACUGCCGGUGACAAACCGGAGGAAGGUGGGGAUGACGUCAAGUCCUCAUGGCCCUUAUGGGUAGGGCUUCACACGUCAUACAAUGGUACAUACAGAGGGCCGCCAACCCGCGAGGGGGAGCUAAUCCCAGAAAGUGUAUCGUAGUCCGGAUCGUAGUCUGCAACUCGACUACGUGAAGUUGGAAUCGCUAGUAAUCGCGGAUCAGCAUGCCGCGGUGAAUACGUUCCCGGGUCUUGUACACACCGCCCGUCACACCAUGGGAGCGGGUUUUACCAGAAGUAGGUAGCUAACCGCAAGGAGGGCGCU